CCUACGGGAGGCAGCAGUGAGGAAUAUUGCGCAAUGGAGGAAACUCUGACGCAGCCAUGCCGCGUGCAGGAAGACGGCCCUACGGGUUGUAAACUGCUUUUAUAUAGGAAGAAACCCCGAUACGUGUAUCGGCUUGACGGUACUAUAUGAAUAAGGACCGGCUAACUCCGUGCCAGCAGCCGCGGUAAUACGGAGGGUCCAAGCGUUAUCCGGAUUUAUUAGGUUUAAAGGGUCCGCAGGCGGGAUUUUAAGUCAGUGGUGAAAGCCUACAGCUCAACUGUAGAACUGCCAUUGAUACUGAUAUCCUUGAGUGUGGUUGAAGUGGGCGGAACAUGUCAUGUAGCGGUGAAAUGCAUAGAUAUGACAUAGAACACCAAUUGCGAAGGCAGCUCACUAAGCCAUUACUGACGCUGAGGGACGAAAGCGUGGGGAGCGAACAGGAUUAGAUACCCUGGUAGUCCACGCCGUAAACGAUGAUCACUCGUUGCUAGCGAUACACUGUUAGUGACCAAGCGAAAGUGUUAAGUGAUCCACCUGGGAAGUACGUUCGCAAGAAUGAAACUCAAAGGAAUUGACGG
Molecule: ribosomal RNA, 578 nt
Filed under: uncultured bacterium
Lineage: Bacteria
Description: bacterial SSU rRNA
Rfam family: Bacterial small subunit ribosomal RNA
Source: RNAcentral